Molecule: ribosomal RNA, 253 nt
Filed under: uncultured prokaryote
Description: partial 16S ribosomal RNA
Rfam family: Bacterial small subunit ribosomal RNA
Source: RNAcentral
UACGUAGGAGGCGAGCGUUGUCCGGAGUUACUGGGCGUAAAGCGUGCGCAGGCGGUUCGUUGUGUCCGAUGUGAAAGCCCCGGGCUUAACCUGGGAAUGGCAUUGGAAACUGGCGAGCUUGAGUGCGGCAGAGGGGGGUGGAAUUCCGCGUGUAGCAGUGAAAUGCGUAGAGAUGCGGAGGAACACUGAUGGCGAAGGCAGCCCCCUGGGUCGACACUGACGCUCAGGCACGAAAGCGUGGGGAGCAAACAGG